GGCUACAGGAAUUUGUCAAGAAGCUACUGCUCCAGCUUCAGAAGAUCUUUUGAAGAUCUUUCAGAUCAGAUCCAGAUCUAAUUUUUGGAGCAAAAAUUUGCAAGGAGAAAAUGAUCUAGAUCCUACUCGAGUGGAUAGCGGUAGAGGCCAGGCGACUGCGUGGCUAUUUUUGAACCUCGGGCAUUGCUGCGAUCAUCUACAGAGUAAUCUAGUUACCCUAGAGGUAUUUCUCUAAUCCUUAAGUUUUAGAUUUAAUUUUAGAUUAAAUAUCAGAUAAUAAGAAUUAGAUCUAAUAGAUCUUAGAUUUAAAAUAUUAUAAGAUA
Molecule: long non-coding RNA, 323 nt
Filed under: Elaeis guineensis (African oil palm)
Lineage: Eukaryota; Viridiplantae; Streptophyta; Magnoliopsida; Arecales; Arecaceae
Description: long non-coding RNA (EGUI_LNC061530)
Source: RNAcentral